RNAcentral lists this unclassified non-coding RNA (833 nucleotides) under Hevea brasiliensis (rubber tree). The record is from RNAcentral. Lineage: Eukaryota; Viridiplantae; Streptophyta; Magnoliopsida; Malpighiales; Euphorbiaceae.
UAUAUAUAUAGUCAAACAGGCCCUUCACUUUUAAUUAGAGUCAAAUUAAACCUAACUACAUGGUGUUAAUAAACAGUCCUUUACAAUUCCAACUCCACUUCAUCCUCAUCUCUCCAUCUCCACCACUUGUUGCAACUUGACACCCUCUACUUCUUCUCCGGUAGCAUAUUAUCAUAAAAGUCUGGAAAUAAUAGAAUUAAUAAAUCAACACUUGAAUUUAACCCAUUAAAAACAAGAACAUCUCAAUAGCCUCAUUUCCUUUCAAUCAAAAUCGCAUUUUCAAGAUUCAAGAACCCUUUCAAAAAAUUUUGCAUAAUAAACAUCUGUCCCAAAUCUUAAUUAAAAUUCUUUUUUUAAAAAAAAGUUAUUCUUGUUGCACUCAAAGCAUUCAUUAAUGGAUUCAACAUCUCUCUCACAAUGAAAAACCAUAAUUCUUAUACCAAAUCAACUUUCUCACUUAGCCUGAAUCACCAAUUCAAUCAACAUUGAAGAACCACUGCACCAUAUUAUCUUCCUUUCAAUGAACUUCCACUUCUCUCACCAUUAACACCUUCAAAAUUGAUGCUACAUUACAAUAUAUAUAUAUAUAUACUGAUAUGGGAAUUUGGAUUAAAAAUUUGAUAUGGUCUUGAAUUCAAAAGACAAAAAUUGGGAAAGAGGGUUUAGAAUUUGCUUAUUACCUGACCCAACUGAGAUAAUGAAGGAAGAAAUCAUUGAGAUCAGUCAAAGAAUUGAAAGCUAACCCUCACACAUAUAAUACUUCAUAGCAGCAUCAAUAACAACAGGGGAAGCUCAUCCUCAUUCACCAAAAAAUGAUUCGGCCAGCCUUUGCA